CCUACGGGAGACAGCAGUGGGGGAUAUUGCACAAUGGGGGGAACCCUGAUGCAGCGACGCCGCGUGGGUGAAGGAGCGUUUCGGCGCGUAAAGCCCUAUCGGCAGGGAAGAAGGAGGACGGUACCUGACUAAGAAGCCCCGGCGAACUACGUGCCAGCAGCCGCGGUAAUACGUAGGGGGCAAGCGUUAGACGGAUUUACUGGGUGUAAGGGGGGCGCAGACGGCAGCGCAAGCCAGGAGUGAAAGCCCGGGGCCCAACCCCGGGACUGCUCUUGGAACUGCGCGGCUGGAGUGCAUGAGGGGCAGGCGGAAUGCCUGGUGUAGCGGUGAAAUGCGUAGAUAUCAGGAGGAACACCAGUGGCGAAGGCGGCCUGCUGGACUGCGACUGACGUUGAGGCCCGAAAGCGUGGGGAGCAAACAGGAUUAGAUACCCCAGUAGUC
This 441-nucleotide ribosomal RNA is filed under the name uncultured bacterium. Its description in RNAcentral is "partial 16S ribosomal RNA". It matches the Rfam family "Bacterial small subunit ribosomal RNA", at positions 338 to 795 of the family's 1533-position model. The record is from RNAcentral.